CCCAAAAUAAAUACCCAAAUAAAAAAAUUCAAAAUUUCCUUGCUUUUCAACGUUUUUUUUCUUCAAAUAAAGUGAAGCUUGUUGUGGUGGUUUUUCAGAUCCGAAUUUGUUUUGUUGUUGUGAUGUUCCAGAUCUCAACUUUUAGGAAGAAAAGAUUGGUGAAGAUGAAUGAUUUGUUUGAAGAACACAUAAAUGAACGAAGAUGAAUAGUUGGGUUUCACAAUUAGAUUCCUUUCUCUUUAUUUUGAUUCAAGAAUAUUUUUGAAGGAAAAAAUAAAUUGAGAUUAAAUUUUCAUAGGGUGACGAUAAUAAACUAAGUUGUUAAGGUUAGAGAUGAUGCGAAAAAAAUAGAGUGUGGAUAGACUAUAAUAACAAUGGUGGUACUACUCAAUCUAAUGGAUAAAAAAAGACUUUCCCAUGGUAGAAAAGAAGUAUCCUUUCCCAGAUUAAAUAGCACCUAAGAAUAUAUAUUUAUUAAUUAACUAGAACAAUAUCACACCACAAAGCUUCAUGUUAAUUACUCAAAGCAAGAAUGAAAUACCAAGGCAGUGGGAUCAAAGAUCACAUAAGCAAAAGUACAAACAAGACAGAGUCAAAUAACAAUAAGUCAUAAAAUGUAGUAAUUGAUUCAAGACGAUGGAACAACAGAAACACUAGCCACUAUUCUUUCCAUUUACAAAAGUGAACAAUUGUGUCUGUCCCUUACAAGAAACUACAAACAAAAUAACAAAAUUCACUCAUUUUAACACCUAGAAAUCUAACAAAAA
This 767-nucleotide long non-coding RNA is filed under the name Medicago truncatula (barrel medic). RNAcentral's name for it is "long non-coding RNA (MTRU_LNC006852)". The record is from RNAcentral. Lineage: Eukaryota; Viridiplantae; Streptophyta; Magnoliopsida; Fabales; Fabaceae.